Molecule: ribosomal RNA, 496 nt
Filed under: Muntiacus vuquangensis (giant muntjac)
Lineage: Eukaryota; Metazoa; Chordata; Mammalia; Artiodactyla; Cervidae
Description: partial 16S ribosomal RNA
Rfam family: Bacterial large subunit ribosomal RNA
Source: RNAcentral
ACUGCCUGCCCAGUGACAACCGUUAAACGGCCGCGGUAUCCUGACCGUGCAAAGGUAGCAUAAUCACUUGUUCUCUAAAUAAGGACUUGUAUGAAUGGCCACACGAGGGUUUUACUGUCUCUUACUUCCAAUCAGUGAAAUUGACCUUCCCGUGAAGAGGCGGGAAUAUAUUAAUAAGACGAGAAGACCCUAUGGAGCUUUAACUACUUAGCCCAAAGAGACAAAAUUUAUUUCUAAGGAAACAACAACACUCUUUAUGGACUAACAGCUUUGGUUGGGGUGACCUCGGAGAAUAAAAAAUCCUCCGAGCGAUUCUAAAGACUAGACUCACAAGUCAAAUCACAUAAUCGCUUAUUGAUCCAAAAAAAUUGAUCAACGGAACAAGUUACCCUAGGGAUAACAGCGCAAUCCUAUUCAAGAGUCCAUAUCGACAAUAGGGUUUACGACCUCGAUGUUGGAUCAGGACAUCCUGAUGGUGCAACCGCUAUCAAAGGUU